This 1260-nucleotide long non-coding RNA is filed under the name Homo sapiens (human). RNAcentral describes it as "HSALNT0064930". The record is from RNAcentral. Lineage: Eukaryota; Metazoa; Chordata; Mammalia; Primates; Hominidae.
CUUGCUUGCAUUGGGUUAGAACAUGCUCCUUUAGCUUGAAGGGGUUUGUUAUUACCCACCUUCUGAAGCCUAGUUCUGUCAAUUCAUCAAACUCAUUCUCUCUCCAGUUUUGCUCCCUUGCUGGCAAGGAGUUGUGAUCCUUUGGAGGAGAAGAGAAGUUCUGGUUUUUGCAAUUUGCAGCCUUUUUGCACUGGCUUUUCCUCAUCUUCGUGGAUUUAUCUACCUUUGGUCUUUGUUGUUGGUGACCUUUGGAUGGGGUGUCUGUGUGAAUGUCCUUUUUGUUAAUGUUGAUGCUUUCUCUUUCUGUUUGUUAGUUUUCCUUCUAACGGUCAGGCCCCUCUUCUGCAGGUCUGCUGGAGUUUGCUGGAGGUGCACUCCAGACUCUGUUUGCCUGCCUAUCACCAACAGAGGCUGCAGAACAGCAAAGAUUGCUGUCUGUAACUUCCUCUGGAAGCUUCAUCCCAGAGGGGCACCUGCCAGAUGCCAGCCGGAGCUCUCCUCUAUGAGUGAAUGAAGGAGGGAAGAAAGGAGAGACAGAGAAAAUAUGGAUUUCCUCAUGGUUGUGAUUCCUCUUCACUCUUUUGAAUUUGGAAGGAUGGCAUACACAUCUGAAAAAUAGUAUUUGUGUCAGAGUAAGAAAUCUCUUUCUAGAUGUUUUUGCCAUAAAGUCAUAUUUCUGUGUUUUGGACAUCGCAUUUUGUGGUCAUAAAAUGGAAGUGAUUGUAAGGCCACGUAUUCAGCACAAUGACCUUGAUCCUGAAUGAAGUGGAGAGAGGAGAGAGAGAACAGCGUGACUAACAGCUCUUGUUGAAGCACAAGUAACUUUUUAUGUUCCACUCCACAAUGAUGAAAAAGUAAACACAGAGACAGGUUUUAGAUGUUGAUGGCUUUAUAUCAAAGUGAAAUAUAUUUGUCAUGUUCCAAAGUUACCUUCAUUAUCAUUAUUUUUAGAGGAAUGGUUAAAAGCAUAGGCUCUGGAAUCAAACAGCUUGGGUUCAAAUCUUGGAUCUUUCACUUCUUAGCUGCAUGACCUUCAUUAAGUUCUCAUCUGUAAAAAUAGGGAAAAUACGAGAAACUACUUCAUGGGAUUGUUACAAAGAUAAAGUGCAAUAAUGCAUGUGUCUGGCAUAGAGUAAGCUCUUUCAGUGUCAGUUAGUAUUAGCAUAAUUAAGUGCAGAAUGUUUGUAAAAUGUUAUCUAAAUUGUACUAUACUCGACCUGGUUUAAAGUAAGUGAAUGGAUAUCUGUGAAACUUUCUGAC